Molecule: small nucleolar RNA, 76 nt
Filed under: Dasypus novemcinctus (nine-banded armadillo)
Lineage: Eukaryota; Metazoa; Chordata; Mammalia; Cingulata; Dasypodidae
Description: Small nucleolar RNA SNORD115 (ENSDNOG00000035363.1)
Rfam family: Small nucleolar RNA SNORD115
About the family: HBII-52 is a member of the C/D class of snoRNAs, which contain the C (UGAUGA) and D (CUGA) box motifs. HBII-52 is encoded in a tandemly repeated array with another C/D snoRNA, HBII-85, in the Prader-Willi syndrome (PWS) region of chromosome 15.
Source: RNAcentral
GGGUCAAUAAUGAGAAUUUAACUAGUUGAAGUCAGAUGACAUAAAAAUCAUUCUCAGUAGGAUUACACUGAGGUAG